AUUGAACGCUGGCGGCAUGCUUUACACAUGCAAGUCGAACGGCAGCACGGGCUCUUGCCUCUCGUCGCGUGUCGCACGGGUGUGUGUUAUACCUCGACACGUCUCCUGUUGUGGGGGAUCUCCCCGCGAACGCCGUUUUUAUCCCACACACGCUCUCCGGGUGAGCGGGGGGUCUUCUCGCCUCUCGCUCUUUCGGCUUCCGAUGGCAGAUUAGCUAGUUGGUGGGGUAAAGGCCUACCAAGGCGACGAUCUGUAGCUGGUCUGAGAGGACGACCAGCCACACUGGGACUGAGACACGGCCCAGACUCCUACGGGAGGCAGCAGUGGGGAAUUUUGGACAAUGGGCGAAAGCCUGAUCCAGCAAUGCCGCGUGUGUGAAGAAGGCCUUCGGGUUGUAAAGCACUUUUGGCGGGAAAGAAAACGAUUGUGCUAAUACGGUGGGGGGAUGACGGUACCGGAAGAAUAAGCACCGGCUAACUACGUG
This 484-nucleotide ribosomal RNA is filed under the name uncultured bacterium. RNAcentral's name for it is "partial 16S ribosomal RNA". It matches the Rfam family "Bacterial small subunit ribosomal RNA", at positions 30 to 507 of the family's 1533-position model. The record is from RNAcentral.